This 486-nucleotide ribosomal RNA is filed under the name uncultured bacterium. Its description in RNAcentral is "partial 16S ribosomal RNA". It matches the Rfam family "Bacterial small subunit ribosomal RNA", at positions 30 to 507 of the family's 1533-position model. The record is from RNAcentral.
AUUGAACGCUGGCGGCAUGCCUUACACAUGCAAGUCGAACGGCAGCACGGGUGCUUGCACCUGGUGGCGAGUGGCGAACGGGUGAGUAAUACAUCGGAACAUGUCCUGUAGUGGGGGAUAGCCCGGCGUAAGCCGGAUUAAUACCGCAUACGAUCUACGGAUGAAAGCGGGGGACCUUCGGGCCUCGCGCUAUAGGGUUGGCCGAUGGCUGAUUAGCUAGUUGGUGGGGUAAAGGCCUACCAAGGCGACGAUCAGUAGCUGGUCUGAGAGGAGGACCAGCCACACUGGGACUGAGACACGGCCCAGACUCCUACGGGAGGCAGCAGUGGGGAAUUUUGGACAAUGGGCGAAAGCCUGAUCCAGCAAUGCCGCGUGUGUGAAGAAGGCCUUCGGGUUGUAAAGCACUUUUGUCCGGAAAGAAAUCCUUGGCCCUAAUACGGUCGGGGGAUGACGGUACCGGAAGAAUAAGCACCGGCUAACUACGUG